RNAcentral lists this long non-coding RNA (1174 nucleotides) under Pogona vitticeps (central bearded dragon). Its description in RNAcentral is "lncRNA (ENSPVIG00000007047.1)". Lineage: Eukaryota; Metazoa; Chordata; Lepidosauria; Squamata; Agamidae. The record is from RNAcentral.
ACUCCAGGAGGCAGUGGAAGACAUGAAGGCCUGGUGUGCUCUGGUCCAUGGGGUCACGAAGAGUCGGACAUGACUAACGACUAAACAACAACAGAAGUUACAGGCUUCUUGGGGUCCCAACUCAUUUCUCAGUGGGCUGCUUAAGACUUGGCUCUGUUCCAUGUCUAGAGAUGGGUGUAUUUGUAUUUGUAUAUGAAUAUCCCCCCACAGGUGGAAAUAACGAGGGUCUGGCCCCAUGGGGCCGGACUGUCCACUGGCCAUUCUGCUGCUGACGCCAGCUCAGUGGAGCCUUCCUAUUUCGCUGUUGUCUGCAAUAGAUUAGCCACUCCUGGCAGGAGGCGGGAUGAUCGUCGUAUUUCCACCUGUGGGGGGGAUAUUCCUGUAUGAAUACCCGCAUCUCUCUGCUCUCUGAUUAAAGUUAAAACCCAAUUUCCUAGCUGCCAAGCACCAGCUGCUCCUUAGCCUUCUCUCUCUCUUCAAUUUAGCAGAAUGAAUUAUAUGGAACCGACAGAUGGGGAUUUCAGAACGACACUCCCGCGGGGAUUUCACUGCUGCGAGAAGAUGCCUGGACUGUCACUGGAAACCUGCUGAUAGAGUAAGCUCUUCUACCACCCUUGAGGAUAACAGGCCAGUUAAUGGAUCUCGGAGAGGUGAUGCUUGCAAACAAUGCACAUUCCUUCUGGCCACUUCCUUGCUCCCUCAGCACGAUGCGAGGCAGCUCAUGAACCAUGCAAUACAACACCUUUACAUCUAUUGAGGUACCCAGCAUGGUGAAGAGGAUAGUGACAGACUAGAACUCUGGAGACCUAGGUUUUAAUCUCCACUUGGACAUGGAAACUAAAAUGUGUAGCGAAGGUGGGACUGGUAAAAACAUUUCUUAAAUAUCUUGGGAACUCUAUUGAGAAAGUUACAAUUCAGAUGUGACUUGACAGCACGUAACACACAUUUACCAUUAACUGAGGCCUCGCCCCUUUAUUUAAAGAUAUGAAUCAACUGUCAGAGUUGCUCUGGAGAAGGACCAAAGCGCUCUCUCCUUAUGUUACAAGCAUCAUUAUGUCUUUGUUGCUGAAAACCAAAAUUUUAUUCCAAGUGGCGAUCUAUUCGUUGUAUGGUAUACUGUGUAUAUACUUACAAUGACAAUAAAUUAAAUUAUAUUAUUAUUUAUAAUUGGUUA